AUACUUACCUGGCGAAGAGGUUACCGUGAUCACGUAGGCGGUUCCCCCAGGAUGAGGCCUUUCCAUUCCACUACGGUCGGGCUGACUCCUGCGAAUGCCCCAAAUGUGGGUAUCACGGGCGCGUAUCUUAUCGAUUGUAUCAGCUAUUGCGUAAUUUAUU
This is a small nuclear RNA of Homalodisca vitripennis (glassy-winged sharpshooter), 160 nucleotides long. RefSeq annotates it as U1 spliceosomal RNA. NCBI's taxonomy places the organism in Eukaryota, Metazoa, Arthropoda, Insecta, Hemiptera, Cicadellidae. The record is from RefSeq and is a predicted model, not a curated record. The transcript has a single exon.